Molecule: ribosomal RNA, 535 nt
Filed under: uncultured Acidobacteriota bacterium
Lineage: Bacteria; Pseudomonadati; Acidobacteriota
Description: SSU rRNA
Rfam family: Bacterial small subunit ribosomal RNA
Source: RNAcentral
CAGCUAGUUGGUAGGGUAAUGGCCUACCAAGGCUAUGAUCAGUAUCCGGCCUGAGAGGGCGCACGGACACACUGGAACUGAAACACGGUCCAGACUCCUACGGGAGGCAGCAGUGGGGAAUUUUGCACAAUGGGGGAAACCCUGAUGCAGCAACGCCGCGUGGAGGAUGAAGUCCCUUGGGAUGUAAACUCCUUUCGACCGGGACGAUAAUGACGGUACCGGUAGAAGAAGCCCCGGCUAACUCUGUGCCAGCAGCCGCGGUAAUACAGAGGGGGCAAGCGUUGUUCGGAAUUAUUGGGCGUAAAGGGUGCGUAGGCGGUGCGGUAAGUCUUCUGUGAAAUCUCCGGGCUCAACUCGGAGUCUGCAGGAGAAACUGCCGUGCUUGAGUAUGGGAGAGGUGAGUGGAAUUCCUGGUGUAGCGGUGAAAUGCGUAGAUAUCAGGAGGAACACCUGUGGCGAAAGCGGCUCACUGGACCAUAACUGACGCUGAUGCACGAAAGCUAGGGGAGCAAACAGGAUUAGAUACCCUGGUAGU